AGGGUGUAAACGCUGCAGACUUGGUGUUGGGAACCCUUCGGGGGUGCUCAGUGCCGGAGAGAAGUUGUUAAGUCUGCUACUUGGGGAGUACGUCCGCAAGGAUGAAACUUAAAGGAAUUGGCGGGGGGAGGCACCGCAACGGGAGGAGCGUGCGGUUUAAUUGGAUUCAACGCCGGACAUCUCACCGGAUAAGACAGCUGAAUGAUUGUCAAUCUGAAGGUUUUACAUGACUAGCUGAGAGGUGGUGCAUGGCGUCAGUGACU
This 263-nucleotide ribosomal RNA is filed under the name uncultured archaeon. RNAcentral describes it as "partial 16S ribosomal RNA". It matches the Rfam family "Archaeal small subunit ribosomal RNA", at positions 748 to 1008 of the family's 1478-position model. The record is from RNAcentral.